GACGAACCGAGCGAACGUUAUUCGGAAUCACUGGGCUUAAAGGGCGCGUAGGCGGGCCGGCAAGUCCGGGGUGAAAGCCCCCAGCUCAACUGGGGAAGUGCCUCGGAUACUGCCGGCCUCGAGGGAGGUAGGGGCGUGCGGAACUUCCGGUGGAGCGGUGAAAUGCGUAGAUAUCGGAAGGAACACCGGUGGCGAAAGCGGCGCGCUGGACCUCUUCUGACGCUGAGGCGCGAAAGCCAGGGGAGCGAACGGG
This 253-nucleotide ribosomal RNA is filed under the name uncultured bacterium. Its description in RNAcentral is "partial 16S ribosomal RNA". It matches the Rfam family "Bacterial small subunit ribosomal RNA", at positions 524 to 776 of the family's 1533-position model. The record is from RNAcentral.